This is a non-coding RNA of Hordeum vulgare subsp. vulgare (domesticated barley), 136 nucleotides long. The record is from Rfam. NCBI's taxonomy places the organism in Eukaryota, Viridiplantae, Streptophyta, Magnoliopsida, Poales, Poaceae.
CAAAUACUCCCUCCGUCCCAAAAAUUUUGUCUUACAUUUAUCUAGAUAUGAAUGUAUCUAGUCACGCUUUAGUAUUUAAAUAUGUCCAUUUCUAGACAAACCUAAGACNNNNNNUUUGGGACGGAGGGAGUACUAA